ACAAGCGGUGAGUGCUUUGGGGUGGGGUGACUGCGUACCUUUUGUAUAAUGGGUCAGCGACUUAUAUUCUGUAGCAAGGUUAACCGUAUAGGGGAGCCGAAGGGAAACCGAGUCUUAACUGGGCGUUAAGUUGCAGGGUAUAGACCCGAAACCCGGUGAUCUAGCCAUGGGCAGGUUGAAGGUUGGGUAACACUAACUGGAGGACCGAACCGACUAAUGUUGAAAAAUUAGCGGAUGACUUGUGGCUGGGGGUGAAAGGCCAAUCAAACCGGGAGAUAGCUGGUUCUCCCCGAAAGCUAUUUAGGUAGCGCCUCGUGAACUCAUCUUCGGGGGUAGAGCACUGUUUCGGCUAGGGGGUCAUCCCGACUUACCAACCCGAUGCAAACUGCGAAUACCGAAGAAUGUUAUCACGGGAGACACACGGCGGGUGCUAACGUCCGUCGUGAAGAGGGAAACAACCCAGACCGCCAGCUAAGGUCCCAAAGUCACAGUUAAGUGGGAAACGAUGUGGGAAGGCUCAGACAGCCAGGAUGUUGGCUUAGAAGCAGCCAUCAUUUAAAGAAAGCGUAAUAGCUCACUGGUCGAGUCGGCCUGCGCGGAAGAUGUAACGGGGCUAAACUGUGCACCGAAGCUGCGGCAGCGACGCUUAUGCGUUGUUGGGUAGGGGAGCGUUCUGUAAGCCUGCGAAGGUGUCCUGUGAGGGAUGCUGGAGGUAUCAGAAGUGCGAAUGCUGACAUAAGUAACGAUAAUGCGGGUGAAAAGCCCGCUCGCCGGAAGACCAAGGGUUCCUGUCCAACGUUAAUCGGGGCAGGGUGAGUCGACCCCUAAGGCGAGGCCGAAAGGCGUAGUCGAUGGGAAACGGGUUAAUAUUCCCGUACUUGGUGUUACUGCGAAGGGGGGACGGAGAAGGCUAUGUUGGCCGGGCGACGGUUGUCCCGGUUUAAGCGUGUAGGCUGGUUUUCCAGGCAAAUCCGGAAAAUCAAGGCUGAGGCGUGAUGACGAGGCACUACGGUGCUGAAGCAACAAAUGCCCUGCUUCCAGGAAAAGCCUCUAAGCAUCAGGUAACAUCAAAUCGUACCCCAAACCGACACAGGUGGUCAGGUAGAGAAUACCAAGGCGCUUGAGAGAACUCGGGUGAAGGAACUAGGCAAAAUGGUGCCGUAACUUCGGGAGAAGGCACGCUGACACGUAGGUGAAGUGAUUUACUCA
This 1209-nucleotide ribosomal RNA is filed under the name Salmonella enterica. RNAcentral describes it as "partial 23S ribosomal RNA". It matches the Rfam family "Bacterial large subunit ribosomal RNA", at positions 566 to 1773 of the family's 2925-position model. The record is from RNAcentral. RNAcentral also lists the same sequence under 1 other name. Lineage: Bacteria; Pseudomonadati; Pseudomonadota; Gammaproteobacteria; Enterobacterales; Enterobacteriaceae.